Long non-coding RNA from Lepidothrix coronata (blue-crowned manakin), 3121 nucleotides. RefSeq lists it as uncharacterized. The record is from RefSeq and is a predicted model, not a curated record. The transcript has 2 exons. NCBI's taxonomy places the organism in Eukaryota, Metazoa, Chordata, Aves, Passeriformes, Pipridae.
CUUGGGCAUUUUCAAGAUCAGUUCCUUGGGCUGCUCUAAGGCAACAAAAGUAUGCCAGGAGUCUCAACAGGGGCAUCUGUGAACUGGACUGGAGAAUCUUCACGACUCAGGUUGUUUAGAGAACAGUAAUUAUGCGUGUGAGUUGCUGGUUUUGUGUGUCUGUAUAAGCCUGUGCUAGACUCAUUCACACCUGGUACUCUGAACAAAGGCAGUCUAAGCUCAGGUAAUCUGCAAAAAUGCUGUGGGUUCACACUACCUGAUUUCAGGGGGCAUACUUGUAUUUCUAAAUAAUAAUAAAAAAAAAGUCCCUGAUGUUAAGAAAGACUUAUAUUGGGAAUAUAAGGGGCACAUAUAUGGCUUAUAUUCACAUUAGCUGGGGCUAGUUCCCUCCUGAGCAGACUCCCACAUUCACAUCAAGCAAUCCUCCUUGGACUCUUUCUGGUGCCCCUAUAGAUCCAACUUGCCAUUCUGGGGUUUUUUGUGUUAUCUUUUUAGAUAAUUUGAAGUAUCUGAAAUUAUGUGAAACUGUAUUACAGGCUGUGAGAAGGGUGCUUUCCUAGCAUGAAAGUGAGGGGGUGUGUUAUAUGUUUUGGCAUGUGGUCACGUUUGAGGGUGUACAGCUCGAGCAGUUUAGAAGAGCAGGCAGUGUGAAGUCAAACAAGAUGUGAUAUCAGGAGCAGUGCUUGGUGCAGACUCUCCCUGCAGCAGUGGGCAGCCACUGCUUGAAAGAGUGCUUGGUGGAACAUGGGGAGGUAAUGAAGAGUUGUGGGGAGCAGCAGCUGGGGCUUGAGCUUGCUCCCCAGCCUGCCGCAGUAAGGACGAGCUCAGAGGAUCCCAAGCAUCUGCCUGCUGCUGGAGCCACCGUGGCAUGGUAAAGCACAGACAGGCGUUUUGACACUAGGAUAAAGGCAUCACUGUAUUUCCUGUGUCAUUUCCACAAAGUCAUGACUUAAAAUCUUGGUCAUAUUGAAACAAAGCACUGACCAAGUUCCAACAAUUCAAGCUUUUGUCCUUGCACUGGACAAGGACUGGCUAAGCACUGUGUAGGUACUAACCACUCUUCUCUUCACAGGCCAUUGUGUGCCUUACCAGUGGCCUCUUUGGGCUCACUUCAAAUCUUUCUUCAACAAAUAUGGCCACAUAAAGUCCAUGAAUUGUAACCCAUGCAGCCAAGAUACAGCAUGUUUAUUUUAGUAGAUUUGGUACAAAUAUAUGCUCUAGAAAGGGAGUUUCUCUGCCAUUUUUCUUACCUCUGCUUAUGGUAAACUGCCCAUGAAUUUUGCUUGCACUGGUCUUCUACUCUGGAUAGGAAAUCCUAUUUCUUAAAAUUCUAAAUUUUGUGGAACUCACUGCCAACCUCAGUUUCCCCAUCACCAAUGCCAGGAUUUUAACUGUAUGAAAAAUAGCAUGCGGGAAAGGGAGUUCUAUAAACAUCUAUUCUUGGAAAAUAACAAGUGAACCCAUACUGAAACCAGUCAGGAUUAAAAAUUAGAAAAUAAAUUUUAAAAGGAUAUGAAGCCUUAUGCUACUUAUACCAACCAAAUGUUAAUUAACUAGGGGUCAAGGAAAAUUUUUUCCUCAAUUAUUCAAUUGAAAUCAUCAGUGUGUCUUAACUAAAGCAGAUGGUGAGGAUCACUACUGCAGCACAGUUCUGAUGCAGUGUAACUCCUGCUGAUGUUAACUUCAGAAAAAUGCUACUUGGCUUAUUAUUUGUUUAAACAAAUAAAACAUAUUUGAAUGAGAAACUUGCAGUGUUUAAGAAACUUUAGCAGUGUUUAGAAAACUUAGUGCUAAUGACUAGCAGUGUUUAAGAAACACUGAUCUUUGCUUGAAACUGUUAAGCUCUGUUUUGUUACCAUUAGUGAGUAGGAAAUACAUGUUUGUACAGUAUCCUGCUUUAACAGUUUAAUCUUUUACUUAGGUUAAACUUUAUUCUACCUGGUAAUAGCUUAAUGCAGUAGCCUAAUUCAACAAUCACUUUUCACUGAUCAUUGAAUUUUUUUGUGGUACUUACCUGAUUAGAGUUUUAUUAGUUCUAGCAGAAAAGAUGCUAAAAAACAGCUCUUCCAGAAUUUCUCUUUUUUUAAUAUCUCAUAUUUUGCUGGUUAGGGACAUUCUUUUGCUGAGGAAUUGUAAACUUCAGUAGUUGUCAAAACUGGCCUUAUAUAAAAAGGUAAAUCACCUCUGACCUGAGACUGUUUAGCAUCUUGACAAGCAGUAAAGCUGAAUAUUAGAACAACUGUUUUCUGUAUGUAUUACUUAUUUUUCAUAAAGACCAGCUGGCAAAGUUUCUCAGUUCUACUGGCCAUUCCAACCUCUUGAGGUGCCUCUAGGUGAUGAAAAACUUUGUGAUAUAUUGAUUAUCACUUCUCACCUACAUCAUUUACUGAAGUGGCACACCAGGCCAUAAACUUUUACUUCUCCAGAAGCCAUGCAAUGGAAAAUUGCUGGCCAAACAUGCUGUUUAGUUCACGCAGCUUCCACAUUGCUCCCACUGUCUGAUCUGCAGUGUCCCAGCCACUGUCAUUACAUACAGUGGAACUAACAAUCUUUGUCAACUAUAUCUAAAUUUUCAGAUAAUUCUGGGCAAAUUGCUCAGUAAACCAUAAUUUAUUGUGUAAUUUUUCUAGAAGUACCUCAAAGUAACAGUUACAAUCAUGAGCUCAUUUUAGAAGAGGCGCUACUAAGAUACAUAUCUUAUUUCUCCUGUGACUACACACUGAGUGAAACAAACAAAAUAGCUUAAUUAUUAUCUUUUAGCAUUGGAGGGUUGAUUAAAUAUGAAGUGAGAUUAAAAACCUACACACAAUUUAUUCAAAGUGACAAAUUAAAUGUAUGUGAAUUACUCUAUAGAGAAAAGCAAGAUUUCCUAUAUACGGGCUACACACUUUUGAAGGCUAGCAGAAACAGCAAAAAUAGUUCUAUCCAAAUUUUAAGAGAAGUAUUUUCCUUUUACAUAGAUACUCUCCUAAAUUAAAAAAAAAAAAAAGUAAGACUGCUUUCAUUUACCCCAAUACAGACAUCUGAAUCUCAUCUUCAUCCUCCCUUCACAGAGAAGGAAAAUGUACCUCCAGAGAACAACUGUGUGACACAGUCUAUACAAUAAAAUGUUAAAAUAAGA